This 79-nucleotide non-coding RNA is filed under the name Pasteurella multocida. Its description in RNAcentral is "Lysine sequence". It matches the Rfam family "Lysine riboswitch aptamer", at positions 104 to 182 of the family's 182-position model. From Rfam's summary of the family: Riboswitches are metabolite binding domains within certain messenger RNAs that serve as precision sensors for their corresponding targets. Allosteric rearrangement of mRNA structure is mediated by ligand binding, and this results in modulation of gene expression. The record is from RNAcentral. Lineage: Bacteria; Pseudomonadati; Pseudomonadota; Gammaproteobacteria; Pasteurellales; Pasteurellaceae.
AUUUUGAUUGGUUGGUGGCGUAUUCGAAAGGAACGUCAUUGUCAUAGUCUUUUUUAAACUAUGGAGCGCUACUGGUUGG